This 253-nucleotide ribosomal RNA is filed under the name uncultured bacterium. Its description in RNAcentral is "partial 16S ribosomal RNA". It matches the Rfam family "Bacterial small subunit ribosomal RNA", at positions 524 to 776 of the family's 1533-position model. The record is from RNAcentral.
GACGGGGGGGGCAAGUGUUCUUCGGAAUUAUUGGGCGUAAAGGGCGCGUAGGCGGUGCGGUAAGUCUGUAGUGAAAUCUCUGGGCUCAACUCAGAGUCUGCUGCAGAAACUGCCGUGCUUGAGUGUGGGAGAGGUGAGUGGAAUUCCCGGUGUAGUGGUGAAAUGCGUAGAUAUCGGGAGGAACACCAGUGGCGCAAGCGGCUAACUGGCCGAGACCUGACGCUGAGACGCGACGGCGUGGGGAGCAAACCGG